Long non-coding RNA from Bombyx mori (domestic silkworm), 2479 nucleotides. RefSeq lists it as uncharacterized. Lineage: Eukaryota; Metazoa; Arthropoda; Insecta; Lepidoptera; Bombycidae. The record is from RefSeq and is a predicted model, not a curated record. The transcript has 3 exons.
AGUUAGUCGGGGAUAUUGCUCGGUACGGUUUGCUAAAGACCUUGUCGUCCACCUGAUAUUAAGUUGUCAGUCGUUCAUGGACAAAGACGGACGCAAAGCCAAGACGGAUUACCAACUAAAAGACGAAUCCACAUAAAAAAAAUAUAUUGGUGCCCGGUGCAGGAAUGAUGCGCAAUUUAUUUGAAAAUAAUAACAUCAUCAUAUCAGCCUAAGAUCUGACAGGACUUGACAACGAAUAUUUCGAUUAUUAAAUCAUUAAGCAUUCAUAGAAACGUAAAAUAAUUUUGGACGUUUUGAUUUUUCCCUUUGAGAACAAUGUUAGAAACUGGAACAGAAUGCGAAUUGGCAGCGCGUCGCGGACAGAGAGGACAGGGGAGUGAGGCGCGGGCGAGAUCAUUCACCGCCGCGCCGCCGUCGGGCGAGCUGCCAGCGGGCCGCACCACGCCGGGAAGCGGAGAGGUGCUGACGCAUAUUGAGGCAACGACUGCAGCUCUGUCCCGCCUGGAGCACUGGAAAGCUUCACGGAAUAUGGACACGAUAAAAAUACGAGUAACAGAUGGUCCUCUCACUUACAAGAGCUAGGGUUGGAAAUUUUGCGUAAUCCACCGAAAUCUCUUGGUGUCGACAGACUUCAACAUUUUCCGAACUUUAGACAACUUUUUUUUCUUAAAUCAAUUUAUUUUGUAUUUUUAGCGGGCUUCUCUAUAAAAGUGUUUUCAAGUUUUUUAAACUGUGAUUUAUUAAAAACGGUCUUAACAUCAACAUGUCAAUAAUAAGCUAUUAAAUUGUAUAACGGUUGAAUUUGGCUUUGAUAAUAUUGCGGAAGAGCUGUUAAAAUUGGAAGUUAGUCCCAACGAAAAAUCGCUAAUCCUGAUUAUCCUAGUAAAGAUAACGGAUCUAACUGAUUAAAAUAUUGAAUUGUCAUCAAUCAUAAAUACGUAUGCCAAAUUUUGAGUUAGUCCGACGUUUUGAAGGGGGUGAAAAUCAUGUUCAAAGUUUCCGUUACAUACAUACAUAGUAAUAAACGUGUGAAGAUAAUAAAAGUUUAUUAAAAACAUAAUAAGUACCUAUUGUAGUUCGUUUGUUCUUGUAGAGGUUUAUCGCUAAAGCUGAUUUGUUACUCUCAUAUCGCUGAUGUUUGCAUUCAAUCAUUAACAACGAAAUGAUUGGGAGAUAGUUACUUACUGAUAUCGAUGGGCUUCGGUAACCAUUUUACACCAGGUGGGCCGUGAGCUCUUUCACCAAUCUAACGGCCGUUUUCAAUAACCUAUCUAUCCCUAGUUUCGGUUACUAAAGAUAGACAAAUCUAUAUUUUUGUCCUUACUUACGUUCCAAUAACCUAUCGACGGGCAGCAGUUCCUAUCGGAUUUAUCUAUCCAUCGUCGGGAGGACGGAUAGCCUGCUAAAGAUAGAACGCUCAUACAAAUCGUGCUUACUUCCGUUUCAAUAUGAGUUUUAAGUAACUCUCCGGUAGGCGGCGCUAUCUCUAGUAUGGGCAUUCGCUUAUCUGUCAAAAUCGGCCGGUUACAUGUUUAUCUUUCGAAAGUAAAUCGCUAUAAUUUAAUAAUUGUUUCUCUUCAUAUUGGCAUAUUGUAGCAGUGAUGAUAGUGAUAUGGAAUUAUUUCAAAUGAUAAUGGAUUGUGAUGCAGAUAGUGAUAGUGAGGCCGAUAUCAUAUGGUUAGGAAAAUAAAGAUCGUCUGAAUUACAUGGCGAAGAUCAAUAAUUACGAAUUUGACUAUAGAUUUCUGAGCAAAGGUGUUGUGAAUGAAUUGCUUAAUUUAAUGAGACCAUAUUUGAGUGUAACGUCAAAAAGGUAAGAUAAAUUUUAACCAUAAAAGUACUCGUUAUUACAACUUAUAUUUGUUUAUAGCAAUAGCAAAAUUAUACCUAAUUUUUGUUGUGUUACACACUCAACAGGAAUUCUAUAAUACUGCUGGAUUCCUAUGGUGCCCUAAAUGACAUUCAUAUACUAAUACAAUAACCUGGUAGGCUAUUUACCUUCAUUCUUAUUACACACUGAUACCUCUGCAUUUUAUAUUUGUGUUACAGAUUCAAAUAUAGGAGAGGAAUUUAGAAAUAGAAAAAGAGUAUUUUGAAUGUGUAAUUUGUGUGCAAUGCAUCAUUGAUGUUUCAAAAUGUUGUUGCUUGAUGGCCUGGGUCUACUCAUGAUACAACUAUAAUUAACCAUUCCGAUUGAAAAGAUGCAUUGGUGUUUGUAAAAGAAGACUCCCUGUAUAUCAUUGAAAAGUAGAUUAAAACUAGAAAAUAUGCAAGCUGUUAUUAUAGCUGCCAUGCUGCAUAAUAUCGUCAGAAGUAUGAAUUUAGAAGAAUUAGAAUCAGAAAUUUCAGUCGCAGAUACAUUACAAGAAAAUAAUAUAAUUGUUCGUAACAAUUUUUCAAAACUUACAUCUGAAAUACAACUAUGUACUUAUAAAUAAUUGCUUCCAAAGAUAAUUUAUAAAAUAAACUCCAAAGAUAA